Molecule: ribosomal RNA, 662 nt
Filed under: Clanculus jussieui
Lineage: Eukaryota; Metazoa; Mollusca; Gastropoda; Trochida; Trochidae
Description: partial 12S ribosomal RNA
Source: RNAcentral
GACAAACGGAUCAAAUUAAGAUUUAUUCAGUAUAAAAGGGGGUUAAAAAGGAGUAAUUAUAUUUGAGAGGGUCUUAUGUUUUCUAGAGAGGUGGAAUUUGUAUAGAAAACUUUGGUUUCUUGUCCUCUUUUUUUUGAUGCCUCGAAAGUUUAGUAAAAGACCGGGAUUAGAUACCCCGUUAUUUAUUUUGUAAACUUUGAUUAAUGAUUGAUUUACUUGGGUAUUACGGGUUAUCUAAAUUAGAUGAUGUAUUUAGGUAAGGUGCUUAGAACUCAAAAAACUUGGCGGUGCCUUAUUUCUUUCCAGGGGAACCUGUCCUGUAAUCGAUGGUCCACGGUUUAGCUUACCUCUUCUUGUAUUUGAGGUGUAUAAGGCCACAAAAAACAGUCUGUAUACCGUCGUCGCCAGAUUACCUUUAAGAGUGGUAGAAGUUGUCGGAAGAGAGUGUGUAAAAUUUUAUUUGUAUUAUUAUGGUUUAUGUUUAAUACUGUUACAUAUCUUUGAUGUCAGAUCAAGGUGCAGCUUAUGAGGAGGAAGAGAUGGGUUACAAUAAAUAUUAAUUAUACGGAUUUUAUGUUGUAAUAUAUGAUUGAAGGCGGACUUGGAAGUAAUGUAAAAACUUGAUAGUAGAGAGUUUACACGAAUAAAGUACUAAGGUGUGC